AGGAUGAACGCUGGCGGCGCGCCUAACACAUGCAAGUCGAGCGAUCUUUUUCGAGAGAGCGGCGGACGGGUGAGUAACGCGUGGGUAACCUGCCCUGUACACACGGAUAACAUACCGAAAGGUAUGCUAAUACGGGAUAACAUAUGAGAGUCACAUGACUUUAAUAUCAAAGCUUUUGCGGUACAGGAUGGACCCGCGUCUGAUUAGCUAGUUGGUAAGGUAACGGCUUACCAAGGCGACGAUCAGUAGCCGACCUGAGAGGGUGAUCGGCCACACUGGAACUGAGACACGGUCCAGACUCCUACGGGAGGCAGCAGUGGGGAAUAUUGCACAAUGGGCGAAAGCCUGAUGCAGCAACGCCGCGUGAGCGAUGAAGGCCUUCGGGUCGUAAAGCUCUGUCCUCAAGGAAGAUAAUGACGGUACUUGAGGAGGAAGCCCCGGCUAACUACGUGCCAGCAGCCGCGGUAAUACGUAGGGGGCUAGCGUUAUCCGGAAUUACUGGGCGUAAAGGGUGCGUAGGCGGUCUUUCAAGCCAGAAGUGAAAGGCUACGGCUCAACCGUAGUAAGCUUUUGGAACUGUAGGACUUGAGUGCAGGAGAGGAGAGUAGAAUUCCUAGUGUAGCGGUGAAAUGCGUAGAUAUUAGGAGGAAUACCAGUAGCGAAGGCGGCUCUCUGGACUGUAACUGACGCUGAGGCACGAAAGCGUGGGGAGCGAACAGGAUUAGAUACCCUGGUAGUCCACGCCGUAAACGAUGAGCACUAGGUGUCGGGGAUCUUGCUGAA
This 783-nucleotide ribosomal RNA is filed under the name uncultured bacterium. Its description in RNAcentral is "bacterial SSU rRNA". It matches the Rfam family "Bacterial small subunit ribosomal RNA", at positions 26 to 836 of the family's 1533-position model. The record is from RNAcentral.